ACUCCUACGGGAGGCAGCAGUGAGGAAUAUUGGUCAAUGGAGGGAACUCUGAACCAGCCAUCCCGCGUGUAGGAAGACGGCCUUAUGGGUUGUAAACUACUUUUAUACAGGAAGAAACGUACCUCGUGAGGGUGCCUGACGGUACUGUAGGAAUAAGCACCGGCUAACUCCGUGCCAGCAGCCGCGGUAAUACGGAGGGUGCGAGCGUUAUCCGGAUUUAUUGGGUUAAAGGGUCCGUAGGCGGAUUAAUAAGUCAGUGGUGAAAUCCCAUCGCUUAACGAUGGGAACUGCCAUUGAUACUGUUAGUCUUGAAUGAGGGUGCAGUGGUUGGAAUGUGUAGUGUAGC
RNAcentral lists this ribosomal RNA (346 nucleotides) under uncultured bacterium. Its description in RNAcentral is "bacterial SSU rRNA". It matches the Rfam family "Bacterial small subunit ribosomal RNA", at positions 335 to 679 of the family's 1533-position model. The record is from RNAcentral.